Molecule: ribosomal RNA, 156 nt
Filed under: Nicotiana attenuata
Lineage: Eukaryota; Viridiplantae; Streptophyta; Magnoliopsida; Solanales; Solanaceae
Description: rRNA 5_8S_rRNA
Rfam family: 5.8S ribosomal RNA
About the family: 5.8S ribosomal RNA (5.8S rRNA) is a component of the large subunit of the eukaryotic ribosome. It is transcribed by RNA polymerase I as part of the 45S precursor that also contains 18S and 28S rRNA.
Source: Rfam by way of RNAcentral
GACUCUCGGCAACGGAUAUCUCGUCUCUCGCAUCGAUGAAGAACGUAGCGAAAUGCGAUACUUGGAGUGAAUUGCAGAAUCCUGUGAACCACCGAGUCUUUGAAUGCAAGUUGCGCCCGAAGCCAUUAGGCCGAGGGCACGUCUGCCUGGGCGUCA